GGGGAUUUGGCUCAGUGGUAGAGCGCUUGCCUAGCAAGCGCAAGGCCCUGGGUUCGGUCCCCAGCUCCG
Non-coding RNA from Rattus norvegicus (Norway rat), 69 nucleotides. The record is from Rfam. Lineage: Eukaryota; Metazoa; Chordata; Mammalia; Rodentia; Muridae.